This 492-nucleotide ribosomal RNA is filed under the name uncultured bacterium. RNAcentral describes it as "partial 16S ribosomal RNA". It matches the Rfam family "Bacterial small subunit ribosomal RNA", at positions 29 to 507 of the family's 1533-position model. The record is from RNAcentral.
AUUGAACGCUGGCGGCAUGCUUUACACAUGCAAGUCGAACGGUAACAGGCCUUCGGGUGCUGACGAGUGGCGAACGGGUGAGUAAUGCAUCGGAACGUACCCAGAGGUGGGGGAUAACGCAGCGAAAGCUGUGCUAAUACCGCAUGUGAUCUGAGGAUGAAAGCGGGGGACCGAGCAGCAAUGUUUGGCCUCGCGCCUUUGGAGCGGCCGAUGUCGGAUUAGCUAGUUGGUGGGGUAAAGGCCUACCAAGGCGACGAUCCGUAGCUGGUCUGAGAGGACGGCCCGCCACCCUGGGACUGAGACACGGCCCCGACUCUUACGGGAGGCAGCGGUGGGGAAUUUUGGACAAUGGGCGCAAGCCUGAUCCAGCAAUGCCGCGUGCGGGAAGAAGGCCUUCGGGUUGUAAACCGCUUUUGGCAGGAACGAAACGGUGUCCGCUAAUACCGGGCGCUAAUGACGGUACCUGCAGAAUAAGCACCGGCUAACUACGUG